GCUUGGGUAGCUCAAAUGGUAGAGCACUUGCCCUAGAAAGGCAAAGGUCCCGAAUUCGAGUCUCGGUCUAGGCA
Molecule: non-coding RNA, 74 nt
Organism: Schistocerca cancellata (South American locust)
Lineage: Eukaryota; Metazoa; Arthropoda; Insecta; Orthoptera; Acrididae
Source: the annotation of a RefSeq genome assembly